Molecule: ribosomal RNA, 792 nt
Filed under: Cryphodera sp. n. HK-2019
Lineage: Eukaryota; Metazoa; Nematoda; Chromadorea; Rhabditida; Heteroderidae
Description: partial large subunit ribosomal RNA
Rfam family: Eukaryotic large subunit ribosomal RNA
Source: RNAcentral
ACAAGUACCGUGAGGGAAAGUUGCAAAGCACUUUGAAGAGAGAGUUAAAGAGGACGUGAAACCGAUGAGGUGGAAACGGACAGAGCUGGCGUAUCUGGCUUGCAUUCAACCCUGGAUGCGUGGGCGCCAUGCUUUGGUUGUCCAGAUUGGCACCGCGGCUUGGUUGUCCGUGUGUUUUGGGUGCAUUUGCAGGUUGCGUGCGCCGAGGUGCUCGGUGCAGCUGCAUGAGCUCGUUGCUUGAGGCCAGCCCUUCACGGGGUCUGGUACCCGGCUCGGGGGAGUGUUGUUUGUGCUGAGUGGUAGACAGUGGCAAUGGAAUCGGGCUCUGGUGGGUGCCGAGCUGGCAGCUAGCGGCGGUCGCGUGCGACACGUGCAUGCGGUCAGUUCGGUCCUGUUUGAGCUCACAUUUAUGCCUGUCCUCGGUGUAAAAGCCGGUCAUCUGUCCGACCCGUCUUGAAACACGGACCCAGGAGUUUAGCGUGUGCGCGAGUCAUUGGGUGUUGAAAACCUAAGGGCGCAAUGAAAGUGAAGGACUCCCUUGAGGAGCUGAUGUGCGAUCUCGGUGCACUGCGGUGCCUGGGCGCAGCAUGGUCCCGUCUCGACCGCAUGCGGUGGGGCGGAGACAGAGCGUACGCGCUGAGACCCGAAAGAUGGUGAACUAUUCCUGAGCAGGAUGAAGCCAGAGGAAACUCUGGUGGAAGUCCGAAGCGAUUCUGACGUGCAAAUCGAUCGUCUGACUUGGGUAUAGGGGCGAAAGACUAAUCGAACCAUCUAGUAGCUGGUUCCUUCCGA